RNAcentral lists this ribosomal RNA (497 nucleotides) under uncultured bacterium. RNAcentral's name for it is "partial 16S ribosomal RNA". It matches the Rfam family "Bacterial small subunit ribosomal RNA", at positions 28 to 507 of the family's 1533-position model. The record is from RNAcentral.
GAUGAACGCUGGCGGCGUGCCUAAUACAUGCAAGUCGAGCGAACAGACGAGGAGCUUGCUCCUCUGACGUUAGCGGCGGACGGGUGAGUAACACGUGGAUAACCUACCUAUAAGACUGGGAUAACUUCGGGAAACCGGAGCUAAUACCGGAUAAUAUAUUGAACCGCAUGGUUCAAUAGUGAAAGACGGUUUUGCUGUCACUUAUAGAUGGAUCCGCGCCGCAUUAGCUAGUUGGUAAGGUAACGGCUUACCAAGGCAACGAUGCGUAGCCGACCUGAGCGGGUGAUCGGCCCCCCUGGACCUGCGCCACCGUCCCGACUCCUACGGGAGGCAGCAGUACGGAAUCUUCCGCAAUGGGCGAAAGCCUGACGGAGCACCGCCGCGUGAGUGAUGAAGGUCUUCGGAUCGUAAAACUCUGUUAUUAGGGAAGAACAAAUGUGUAAGUAACUAUGCACGUCUUGACGGUACCUAAUCAGAAAGCCACGGCUAACUACGUG